CAAUAGCGUAUAUUAAAGUUGUUGCAGUUAAAAAGCUCGUAGUUGGAUUUCUGGUGGGAGCGAUCGGUCUGGCGCUUAGCGCGAGUACUUGCAUCGUCUCCGGCCAUCCUUGGGGAGAGUCUGUCUGGCAUUAGGUUGUCGGGCAGAGGAUCCUCAUCGUUUACUGUGAAAAAAUUAGAGUGUUCAAAGCAGGCUUAUGCCGUUGAAUAUAUUAGCAUGGAAUAAUAAGAUAGGACUUUGGUACUAUUUUGUUGGUUUGCGCACCAAAGUAAUGAUUAAUAGGGACAGUUGGGGGUAUUCGUAUUCCGUUGUCAGAUGUGAAAUUCUUGGAUUUACGGAAGACGAACUACUGCGAAAGCAUUUACCAAGGAUGUUUUCAUUAA
This 383-nucleotide ribosomal RNA is filed under the name uncultured eukaryote. RNAcentral describes it as "partial 18S ribosomal RNA". It matches the Rfam family "Eukaryotic small subunit ribosomal RNA", at positions 592 to 976 of the family's 1831-position model. The record is from RNAcentral.